UACGGGGGAUGCAAGCGUUAUCCGGAAUCAUUGGGCGUAAAGCGCCUGUAGGUUGUUUAAUAAGUCUGUUGUUAAAGACUAGGGCUUAACCCUAGGAAAGCAAUGGAAACUACUAGACUAGAGUAUGAUAGGGGUAGAGGGAAUUUCUAGUGUAGCGGUGAAAUGCGUAGAUAUUAGGAAGAACACCGGUGGCGAAGGCGCUCUACUGGAUCAUUACUGACACUCAGAGGCGAAAGCUAGGGUAGCAAAAGGGAUUAGAUACCCCUGUAGUCCUAGCCGUAAACGAUGAACACUAGGUGUCGGGGGAUCGCCCCGGUGUCGUAGCUAACGCGUUAAGUGUUCCGCCUGGGGAGUACGCACGCAAGUGUG
RNAcentral lists this ribosomal RNA (369 nucleotides) under uncultured phototrophic eukaryote. RNAcentral's name for it is "SSU rRNA". It matches the Rfam family "Bacterial small subunit ribosomal RNA", at positions 524 to 896 of the family's 1533-position model. The record is from RNAcentral.